RNAcentral lists this long non-coding RNA (1445 nucleotides) under Struthio camelus australis. RNAcentral describes it as "lncRNA (ENSSCUG00000017458.1)". The record is from RNAcentral. Lineage: Eukaryota; Metazoa; Chordata; Aves; Struthioniformes; Struthionidae.
CUCUGGGGGAGGGUGGCAUUCCUCUUUUACUGAUAUAAGAUCAAGUUAGUCAUUCCAUUUUUAAUGCUAUUAUGAACAAGUGGGAGAAAUUAGAGGACUAGCCCCAUUCUUCCUUAAGAUUUUCUGAAUCUAGCUUUGGUGUGUGAACUGGAAAAGACUGUAAGAGCAGUUAGUGUUUACACCUUCCUUGCACUGUAUAAUUUAACUUUCAGAAAUACAAAAUGGGACAGCAGAAAUAUUGUUACGCGUUCUUACAAUGUCCAAAGUUGUUUCUUACUGUUUUUAUUUGAAGGAACUAGACACAAUCCUGGCUGCCGUAACCACUGCCUUUGAGAGAGCUACAGCUGAGAAAAUCCGCUGCCAGGAAGAAGUGAAUAGAACUAACAAGGCUAUUGAGCUGGCCAACAGAUUAGUGAAAGGUCUGAGGGGAAAUCAGAAAUGCUGACCAGACAGAGGGGAAGCUGAUACUCUCUAGCCAGGACCCUAAGAGAAAUCUUGCACCAAGUGUCAUGUCAAAUCUCUUACUGACUUUAUGGUGUAUAAGAUCAGACCCAAAAGUAGAAACGUUUUUUUCCUGCCUUCUUCUCUGAGCCCUGACACACCAGGACUAUUUUGGGUGGUUGCACGAGUAGUUGUUACUCUGUACCAAGGAAUUCUUUGCUUCUGACAGGUGCCAAUUAUGCUGUGGACAUCUGCCCUGGAGGCACUGAAUCAAGCUGACAACUCAUUUUACAUCCAUCCACCAACAACUGUUUUCAAUAAUUUCCCAUCCAGCUGGGACUGAAUUUGCACAAGUGAUCUAUGUAUUAGAGACAUUACCCAUCCACAGAGACGUUCAGAACCGCGAUUAUGUUCUGUGUUCCCACAGAAACUCUUGCAUCUGCACGAGAAAACAGCCACUCUUUACUCUUUCCACCAUGCUAGAGGAUGCUGACAGCUCAAUUUUCCUCACUUACUGGCAAACUCACCAUGCAAUGGGCAACAUGUGUCUGAAUAGAAGAUACUUUGUGAGUCUGGGCUGGCCAUAUGCAAACCUCUUCUCUUGAUUACCUAAUAGAUGUGAAUCACUCAAGGUAAUACUGAACUACUUGCGAUUGUUUGUCCACAGUGGUGGACGUUUUUUGAUAAACAGUAACUGAAUGUUUCUUUAAUCCUGUUCCUGUUCUCUAGAUAGAAAAUGUGACAUAGGCUUAAUCAGCAGCACGGUACUAGGUACCAGAGAAAAUACAAUGCAGAAAUGGGCUCCAGAUUGCAGUCGUUAAUUCCUGUGUUAGUUCGUUUUCAAAAUGGUAUUGACAUGAGCCAAAAUCUGUGGAUGUUUUGCUUGAAAAGCAAUAAGGUAAGUGAGAGCCUGCAUAUAAUGCCUUUUUACUGCUCUGCUUUUUAAAAAUGCGCAGUUAAUCAGAAAAAUUCUAGCAGCUAUUCUGUUCCCUUUUUGACCUGUU